RNAcentral lists this ribosomal RNA (253 nucleotides) under uncultured bacterium. RNAcentral describes it as "partial 16S ribosomal RNA". It matches the Rfam family "Bacterial small subunit ribosomal RNA", at positions 524 to 776 of the family's 1533-position model. The record is from RNAcentral.
UACGGGGGGGGCAAGCGUUGUUCGGAAUUACUGGGCGUAAAGGGCUCGUAGGUGGCCAACUAAGUCAGACGUGAAAUCCCUCGGCUUAACCGGGGAACUGCGUCUGAUACUGGAUGGCUUGAGUUUGGGAGAGGGAUGCGGAAUUCCAGGUGUAGCGGUGAAAUGCGUAGAUAUCUGGAGGAAUACCGGUGGCGAAGGCGGCAUCCUGGACCAUUACUGACGCUGAGGCGCGAAGGCUAGGGGAGCAAACGGG